AUACAGUACAGUAUGUUUGAAUAUGAAUGAAAAAAAACAAAAACACAAGAUGAUAUUAAAGUGAAUCAGUUAUGCCUCGUCAUAAGGGACUUAAUAACUUAAAGUUCCUGUGAGAAACUUUCAGUUUGUGUUGAUUUUGGCGCCCCUUGUGGACAGAGCAGUAUGUCUAAUCUCUAUGUUGAUAUUGUCCUGUACACAUGAGUUCAAAUUUCUCACUCAUUCUGUACAUUUUCUGUAGAUAAUAUAAAACAAUGCUUUUUCUUCAGCGUGCUGUCAAUUUUCCUGUCUGACAUCUACCCUGUGUCAGCAGUUUCAGGCAUUAAAAGUUACAAUAUAAGAAAAAUAA
Labrus mixtus (cuckoo wrasse) is the source of this 346-nucleotide long non-coding RNA. RefSeq lists it as uncharacterized. NCBI's taxonomy places the organism in Eukaryota, Metazoa, Chordata, Actinopteri, Labriformes, Labridae. The record is from RefSeq and is a predicted model, not a curated record. The transcript has 2 exons.